CAGGACGAACGCUGGCGGCGUGCUUAACACAUGCAAGUCGAGCGGAGAUUGCAUUUAUGUAAUCUUAGCGGCGGACGGGUGAGUAACGCGUAGGCAACCUGCCUUGCACAGAGGGAUAACACCGGGAAACUGGUGCUAAUACCACAUGAUAUCAUAACAAGGCAUCUUGAAAUGAUCAAAGGAGAAAUCCGGUGCAAGAUGGGCCUGCGUCCGAUUAGUUAGUUGGUGAGGUAACGGCUCACCAAGGCGACGAUCGGUAGCCGAACUGAGAGGUUGAUCGGCUACAUUGGGACUGAGACACGGCCCAGACUCCUACGGGAGGCAGCAGUGGGGAAUAUUGCGCAAUGGGGGGAACCCUGACGCAGCAACGCCGCGUGAAGGAAGAAGGCCUUCGGGUUGUAAACUUUUUUGAUUGGGGAAGAAAAAAAUGACGGUACCCAAGGAACAAGCCACGGCUAACUACGUGCCAGCAGCCGCGGUAAUACGUAGGUGGCGAGCGUUGUCCGGAAUUACUGGGUGUAAAGGGCGUGUAGGCGGGAUUGUAAGUCAGAUGUGAAAUUCCAGGGCUUAACUCUGGAGGUGCAUCUGAAACUAUAAUUCUUGAGUGCUGGAGAGGAAAGCGGAAUUCCUAGUGUAGCGGUGAAAUGCGUAGAUAUUAGGAAGAACACCAGUGGCGAAGGCGGCUUUCUGGACAGUAACUGACGCUGAGGCGCGAAAGCGUGGGGAGCAAACAGGAUUAGAUACCCUGGUAGUCCACGCUGUAAACGAUGGAUACUAGGUGUAGGAGGUAUCGACCCCUUCUGUGCCGGAGUUAACACAAUAAGUAUCCCACCUGGGGAGUACGCCCGCAAGGCUGAAACUCAAAGGAAUUGACGGGGGCCCGCACAAGCAGUGGAAUAUGUGGUUUAAUUCGAAGCAACGCGAAGAACCUUACCAGGGCUUGACAUCCCUCGGAUAACAUAGAGAUAUGUUAGUCCUUCGGGACGAGGAGACAGGUGGUGCAUGGUUGUCGUCAGCUCGUGUCGUGAGAUGUUGGUUUAAGUCCCGCAACGAGCGCAACCCCUAUUGUUAGUCGCCAUCAUUAAGUGGGGCACUCUAACGAGACUGCCGGUGACAAAUCGGAGGAAGGUGGGGACGACGUCAAAUCAUCAGGCCCCUUAUGUCCUGGGCUACACACGUACUACAAUGGUCACUACAAAGGGAAGCAAUACCGCAAGGAGGAGCAAAUCCCCAAAGGUGACCUCAGUUCGGAUUGUGGGCUGAAACCCGCCCACAUGAAGUCGGAAUUGCUAGUAAUGGCAGGUCAGCAUACUGUCGUGAAUACGUUCCCGGGCCUUGUACACACCGCCCG
This 1351-nucleotide ribosomal RNA is filed under the name uncultured organism. RNAcentral describes it as "bacterial SSU rRNA". It matches the Rfam family "Bacterial small subunit ribosomal RNA", at positions 25 to 1396 of the family's 1533-position model. The record is from RNAcentral.